This 1170-nucleotide ribosomal RNA is filed under the name Staphylococcus aureus. Its description in RNAcentral is "partial 23S ribosomal RNA". It matches the Rfam family "Bacterial large subunit ribosomal RNA", at positions 1 to 1167 of the family's 2925-position model. Lineage: Bacteria; Bacillati; Bacillota; Bacilli; Caryophanales; Staphylococcaceae. The record is from RNAcentral.
GAUUAAGUUAUUAAGGGCGCACGGUGGAUGCCUUGGCACUAGAAGCCGAUGAAGGACGUUACUAACGACGAUAUGCUUUGGGGAGCUGUAAGUAAGCUUUGAUCCAGAGAUUUCCGAAUGGGGAAACCCAGCAUGAGUUAUGUCAUGUUAUCGAUAUGUGAAUACAUAGCAUAUCAGAAGGCACACCCGGAGAACUGAAACAUCUUAGUACCCGGAGGAAGAGAAAGAAAAUUCGAUUCCCUUAGUAGCGGCGAGCGAAACGGGAAGAGCCCAAACCAACAAGCUUGCUUGUUGGGGUUGUAGGACACUCUAUACGGAGUUACAAAGGACGACAUUAGACGAAUCAUCUGGAAAGAUGAAUCAAAGAAGGUAAUAAUCCUGUAGUCGAAAAUGUUGUCUCUCUUGAGUGGAUCCUGAGUACGACGGAGCACGUGAAAUUCCGUCGGAAUCUGGGAGGACCAUCUCCUAAGGCUAAAUACUCUCUAGUGACCGAUAGUGAACCAGUACCGUGAGGGAAAGGUGAAAAGCACCCCGGAAGGGGAGUGAAAUAGAACCUGAAACCGUGUGCUUACAAGUAGUCAGAGCCCGUUAAUGGGUGAUGGCGUGCCUUUUGUAGAAUGAACCGGCGAGUUACGAUUUGAUGCAAGGUUAAGCAGUAAAUGUGGAGCCGUAGCGAAAGCGAGUCUGAAUAGGGCGUUUAGUAUUUGGUCGUAGACCCGAAACCAGGUGAUCUACCCUUGGUCAGGUUGAAGUUCAGGUAACACUGAAUGGAGGACCGAACCGACUUACGUUGAAAAGUGAGCGGAUGAACUGAGGGUAGCGGAGAAAUUCCAAUCGAACCUGGAGAUAGCUGGUUCUCUCCGAAAUAGCUUUAGGGCUAGCCUCAAGUGAUGAUUAUUGGAGGUAGAGCACUGUUUGGACGAGGGGCCCCUCUCGGGUUACCGAAUUCAGACAAACUCCGAAUGCCAAUUAAUUUAACUUGGGAGUCAGAACAUGGGUGAUAAGGUCCGUGUUCGAAAGGGAAACAGCCCAGACCACCAGCUAAGGUCCCAAAAUAUAUGUUAAGUGGAAAAGGAUGUGGCGUUGCCCAGACAACUAGGAUGUUGGCUUAGAAGCAGCCAUCAUUUAAAGAGUGCGUAAUAGCUCACUAGUCGAGUGACACUGCGCCGA